RNAcentral lists this ribosomal RNA (379 nucleotides) under uncultured eukaryote. RNAcentral's name for it is "partial 18S ribosomal RNA". It matches the Rfam family "Eukaryotic small subunit ribosomal RNA", at positions 592 to 976 of the family's 1831-position model. The record is from RNAcentral.
CAAUAGCGUAUGUUAAAGUUGUUGCGGCUAAAAAGCUCGUAGUUGGAUUUCUGUUGAGGACGUCCGGUCCGCUCUAUGAGCGUGCAUCUGGUUCGGCCUCGGCAUCCGCUCUGCAUACGUGUCUGCGCUUGAUUGCGUGGCGCGGGGUGGGGCCUUUUACUUUGAGGAAAUUAGAAUGUUCACGGCAGGCAAUCGCCCUGAAUAUAUUAGCAUGGAAUAAUAACAUAGGAUCUUGGUUCUAUUUUGUUGGUUUCUAGGGCUAAGAUAAUGAUUAAUAGGGACAAUUGGGGGCAUUCGUAUUGCGGUGUCAGAGGUGGAAUUCUUGGAUUACUGCACGACGAACUACUGCGAAAGCAUUUGCCAAGGAUGUUUUCAUUGA